This 253-nucleotide ribosomal RNA is filed under the name uncultured bacterium. Its description in RNAcentral is "partial 16S ribosomal RNA". It matches the Rfam family "Bacterial small subunit ribosomal RNA", at positions 524 to 776 of the family's 1533-position model. The record is from RNAcentral.
GACGUAGGUGGCAAGCGUUAUCCGGAUUCACUGGGCGUAAAGCGAGUGCAGGUGGUUGUGUAAGUUGGAUGUGAAAUUUCCCAGCCUAACUGGGAAGGGUCAUUCAAUACUGCGCGACUUGAGGGCAGAAGAGGGGGGUGGAAUUGCCGGUGUAGUGGUGAAAUGCGUAGAUAUCGGCAGGAACACCUGUGGCGAAAGCGGCCCCCUGGUCUGAUCCUGACACUCAGACUCGAAAGCUAGGGUAGCGAACGGG